Molecule: long non-coding RNA, 563 nt
Organism: Diorhabda carinulata
Lineage: Eukaryota; Metazoa; Arthropoda; Insecta; Coleoptera; Chrysomelidae
Exons: 5
Source: RefSeq, a predicted model, not a curated record
AUAGAAUAGUUUCCGAAUGCCAGCAAAUAUAAGUCCAUUAACUAUUUAAUCAUUCGUAUUUUACUUUUCCCAUAACCAUUUUAAGGAAGACACGUGCGUUUGGAUCGGCAUUUUCGAAUUUUGGAAUAUUUUUAUAUCUUUGAACUCUAUAUACAGCUCAUUUUUGUUAGUUGGCGUAUAUCAUUAAUAUAGAAGCUUAUCAUGUUUGAAAAAGGAAGAUUAAUUUGGAUUCAGGAACCUACUGUGCAAAGUACAAAUGCAAAAGAAAGAAGAAUAAUUUGGAUUCAGACACCACCUACAUCUAAUACAAAAACUAAAGAAAGAAGAAUAAUUUGGAUUCAGACACCACCUACAUCUAAUACAAAAACUAAAGGUACCUAAAAAUCAAAAUAUUUGCCCCUUUUUUAAAAAGUACGGAUAAUCAACAAAAGGAGAAGAGGAUUUUAUGAUUGCUGGAUCCAAUAGUAUCCGAUUGGAAUUAGGAGCAAAUCCGACUGCUUUAUAUUUCGAAUAAAUUCUCAGUGUUAAUUUGUUUUUUUUUUUUUAAAUUGAAAGUCCAAAUA